Molecule: ribosomal RNA, 253 nt
Filed under: uncultured bacterium
Lineage: Bacteria
Description: partial 16S ribosomal RNA
Rfam family: Bacterial small subunit ribosomal RNA
Source: RNAcentral
UACGUAGGUGGCGAGCGUUGUCCGGAUUUACUAGGCGUAAAGAGCGCGCAGGCGGUCGUACAAGUCGCGUGUGAAAGCCCCCGGCUCAACUGGGGAGGGUCACGCGAUACUGUUCGACUCGAAGGCAGGAGAGGGUAGUGGAAUUCCCGGUGUAGCAGUGAAAUGCGUAGAGAUCGGGAGGAACAUCUGUGGCGAAGGCGACUGCCUGGACCAGCACUGACACUGAGGCACGAAAGCGUGGGGAGCAAACAGG